Malaya genurostris is the source of this 738-nucleotide long non-coding RNA. RefSeq lists it as uncharacterized. The transcript has 3 exons. The record is from RefSeq and is a predicted model, not a curated record. Lineage: Eukaryota; Metazoa; Arthropoda; Insecta; Diptera; Culicidae.
UAGUCUAUAUUGACAAAAUUGCAAGUAGUUCUUAAAUCCAUGCAACAUUUCUUACGGAUUACCAUAGUUUCAGAAUGUAUUAAGAUGGUUUUAGCAAAUACAAAUAAUAAUACCCCUAGGUCCCAUACAAAUAGAUCGCCAAUGUUUGGUUCGCGAAAUGAACAAGUUAGCCUAGCCUAUUCCUACAUUAAUCCUAGAGUGCCUAUAACCAGAGUGACGACAUCUCAUCCGUAAUUUUGGCAACAAUUCAAAACAUUCCAUUAGCUUUAGAUUGAAUUGACAGGUCGUUUGCUCGUUUGGAACUGGGAGCUGUCAUUCCAAACGAACAGCUGUCGCCACUCUGAUUAUAGUCACUCUAAUUAAUCCUUGACAAGUGAAAAUUCCCGAAAAUGUUCUCAACUGGAAACAUUAUUGUCACUAUGGCUAUGCUAGUUUUGUUAUUUUCGCGUCCAGAUUCAAGCCAACGAAAUAUGUUUCGUUUUGAGGACCUCCAGUAAAAUGACCUGAAAACAUUGCUUGGUCGAUAAUACGCAGUUUGAACAAAAUCUUGUCACCUGGAUUGUCUGUUCGUGUGGAAAUUUCGAUAGCUACAACAGAAUAUAAUAUCUCCGGCUUCCACCGAGCUCUCAUUCUAGAAGAAUCAUAAACUGAUGCAUUCUAUGAUUCAUCAAGUCAAGCCAAAAUGACAUAAAUUCUUAGAGUCUCAAAUGAAACUCUGAUACGUGGAAACAAAAUGAC